Molecule: ribosomal RNA, 433 nt
Filed under: uncultured bacterium
Lineage: Bacteria
Description: partial 16S ribosomal RNA
Rfam family: Bacterial small subunit ribosomal RNA
Source: RNAcentral
AACGAACGCUGGCGGCAUGCCUAACACAUGCAAGUCGAACGAGACCUCCGGGUCUAGUGGCGCACGGGUGCGUAACGCGUGGGAACCUGCCCUUAGGUUCGGAAUAACUCCCCGAAAGGGGUGCUAAUACCGGAUAAUGUCUUCGGACCAAAGAUUUAUCGCCCUUGGAUGGGCCCGCGUUGGAUUAGCUAGUUGGUAGGGUAAAAGCCUACCAAGGCGACGAUCCAUAGCUGGUCUGAGAGGAUGAUCAGCCACACUGGGACUGAGACACAGCCCAGACUCCUACGGGAGGCAGCAGUGGGGAAUAUUGGACAAUGGGCGAAAGCCUGAUCCAGCAAUGCCGCGUGAGUGAUGAAGGCCUUAGGGUUGUAAAGCUCUUUUACCCGGGAUGAUAAUGACGGUACCGGGAGAAUAAGCUCCGGCUAACUCCGUG